This 119-nucleotide ribosomal RNA is filed under the name Pteropus alecto (black flying fox). The record is from RNAcentral. Lineage: Eukaryota; Metazoa; Chordata; Mammalia; Chiroptera; Pteropodidae.
GUCUACAGACAUGCCACCCUGAACAAGCCCAAUCCCAUCUGAUCUCGGAAGCUAAGCAGGGUCGGGCCUGGUUAGUACUUGGAUAGGAGACCACCUAGGAAGACCAGGUGCUGUAAGUG